Long non-coding RNA from Helianthus annuus (common sunflower), 437 nucleotides. RefSeq lists it as uncharacterized. The transcript is spliced from 3 exons. The record is from RefSeq and is a predicted model, not a curated record. NCBI's taxonomy places the organism in Eukaryota, Viridiplantae, Streptophyta, Magnoliopsida, Asterales, Asteraceae.
CACACACGACCGUAGCAAGAGAAGAAAGGGGAAAACCCUUAAGCUUAACGAAUUCAGCAAAUUGAAGAUGAUUUAAGGACAAAUUCGAAUGCAUGUCUUUAAUUUCUCAAUCAUCUAAGUAUCCUCAACCCUAGGGGCGAAGAAAGAAGAAGGUACAAGUCAAUCCAAGGCACUAGGAACACGAGAUCACGGUAAAGCCGUACUUUAAACGAGCGCUACACUCGGAACGAACACACUCCAUGAUGCCCUUUACGCGCUUCCGGUUUACGUUUAGUGUCAAUGGGUCAAACUACUUUCGAUUGUAAAUGUUGUUUUAAAUGUUUAUGUCUUUUAUAAGUAAGUUUAAAGUUUAUACUUUAAAUAUGUUAGAAUUGGUCAGAAUUUAUAUUAAGUUACGAAAGUUCAAAAUUUUAGCGUUUUUACAUGAUGUUUGACCA